This 427-nucleotide ribosomal RNA is filed under the name uncultured Lysobacteraceae bacterium. RNAcentral's name for it is "bacterial SSU rRNA". It matches the Rfam family "Bacterial small subunit ribosomal RNA", at positions 353 to 772 of the family's 1533-position model. The record is from RNAcentral. Lineage: Bacteria; Pseudomonadati; Pseudomonadota; Gammaproteobacteria; Lysobacterales; Lysobacteraceae.
AGUGGGGAAUAUUGGACAAUGGGCGCAAGCCUGAUCCAGCAAUGCCGCGUGGGUGAAGAAGGCCUUCGGGUUGUAAAGCCCUUUUGUACGGGAAGAAAUCCUGUCGGUUAAUACCCGGCGGGGAUGACGGUACCGUAAGAAUAAGCACCGGCUAACUUCGUGCCAGCAGCCGCGGUAAUACGAAGGGUGCAAGCGUUAAUCGGAAUUACUGGGCGUAAAGCGUGCGUAGGCGGUUCGUUAAGUCCGAUGUGAAAGCCCUGGGCUCAACCUGGGAAUGGCAUUGGAUACUGGCGAGCUAGAGUGUGAUAGAGGAUGGCGGAAUUCCCGGUGUAGCGGUGAAAUGCGUAGAGAUCGGGAGGAACAUCCGUGGCGAAGGCGGCCAUCUGGAUCAACACUGACGCUGAGGCACGAAAGCGUGGGGAGCAAA